AUUGAACGCUGGCGGAAUGCUUUACACAUGCAAGUCGAACGAUGAACCUUAGCUUGCUAAGGGGAUUAGUGGCGAACGGGUGAGUAAUAUAUCGGAACGUGCCUUGUAAUGGGGGAUAACCAGUCGAAAGAUUAGCUAAUACCGCAUACGCCCUGAGGGGGAAAGUAGGGGAUCUUCGGACCUUACGUUAUAAGAGCGGCCGAUAUCUGAUUAGCUAGUUGGUGGGGUAAUGGCCUACCAAGGCGACGAUCAGUAGCUGGUCUGAGAGGACGACCAGCCACACUGGAACUGAGACACGGUCCAGACUCCUACGGGAGGCAGCAGUGGGGAAUUUUGGACAAUGGGCGCAAGCCUGAUCCAGCCAUUCCGCGUGAGUGAAGAAGGCCUUCGGGUUGUAAAGCUCUUUCGCAAGGGAAGAAAACUUACCAUCGAAUAAAUGGUGAGGCUGACGGUACCUUGAUAAGAAGCACCGGCUAACUACGUG
Molecule: ribosomal RNA, 484 nt
Filed under: uncultured bacterium
Lineage: Bacteria
Description: partial 16S ribosomal RNA
Rfam family: Bacterial small subunit ribosomal RNA
Source: RNAcentral